Molecule: long non-coding RNA, 1068 nt
Organism: Macrosteles quadrilineatus (aster leafhopper)
Lineage: Eukaryota; Metazoa; Arthropoda; Insecta; Hemiptera; Cicadellidae
Exons: 6
Source: RefSeq, a predicted model, not a curated record
AAGUUUUCCUGUUGAGAGUUCCGUUUUUUUUCACGUUUCAAGAUUGAUUUGUUUAUAUUUAUUUAUGUAUGCUGUGCUUAGUAAAUAUUAAUAGUUUGCAAUUCAAUUUUAACCUACGAAGAAAGGCAUUUAUGGAUCAUUGGAUUACUCUCCAUUAUCGCGCACACAAAAGAAGAUUCGGUGGAUCAAUACAUUUUAGAGGAUAGCUAUAUUUCUGGCUAUUCAAAUAACGUUAAAGACUCGCCAGUAGGAUGGCGCCCAGUUAUUAUAAAUAUAACCGACUGCUUGUACAAGUCUGCGUUAAGGUUUCUGCAAUGUUCCACUGAACCAAACAACACACAUGGCAUUGCACUACUAGACCCUCUGGACUUUUAUUUGGACCAGCUGGCUGAAAGGAAAACCAUCAGACUUAACGGAGUUAUCAACGGCACAAUUUUGGAACUAUCUAAACUGGAUAUAAACUACGUCAUCGUCACUGUGCCUUCUUUCUACGCUAAGAUAAUUGGAAACAUUCCAAGACUUACAGUUUCGGGAAUUCACGAUGUUACUGGUCUUUUAGCUGGAGUUCUUCCAGUUUACGGGUCUGGUCCAUACAGCAUUGAACUGUAUAACACUAGUGUAACCAUUUCCAUGGGGCUAAGAACAUACCAAAAUGGGAGUUUCUACAUGUCAACCUUCGAUGUAGAUUUUUCACCAAAAGAAAUUAAGGUUUCUCUUGAACACCUUCUAGGAGGAGGCUCUCUGGGUGCAACAGUUCAGGAUUUCCUACAGGACGCCGCAAAGCAGAUCCUCGCCCGGAGUCGUCCCCAAAUUAAGGAAGACCUCCGCAGGACCGUCAUCUCCGCAGCCAAUCCAAGACUAGUCGUACUAAAUGGCGUUUCCGACCUAGUAAGCUUUUUUGUCAAGUUUAGCAACGUCCCUGCGAAUACUUGUUGAUGAAUCGUAAACUAUUUUUGUCCUUACAUAAGGAACUGAUAGCUCCAGUGAAAUAUUUUAAUACUAUGUUUUAAUCUUUUACAUCAUAUUUCUCAGUUAUUAUCGGUCCUUAGAUAAAAUCGUAUUACUUUU